This 1542-nucleotide ribosomal RNA is filed under the name Salmonella enterica subsp. enterica serovar Oranienburg. RNAcentral's name for it is "bacterial SSU rRNA". It matches the Rfam family "Bacterial small subunit ribosomal RNA". RNAcentral also lists the same sequence under 11 other names. Lineage: Bacteria; Pseudomonadati; Pseudomonadota; Gammaproteobacteria; Enterobacterales; Enterobacteriaceae. The record is from RNAcentral.
AAAUUGAAGAGUUUGAUCAUGGCUCAGAUUGAACGCUGGCGGCAGGCCUAACACAUGCAAGUCGAACGGUAACAGGAAGCAGCUUGCUGCUUUGCUGACGAGUGGCGGACGGGUGAGUAAUGUCUGGGAAACUGCCUGAUGGAGGGGGAUAACUACUGGAAACGGUGGCUAAUACCGCAUAAUGUCGCAAGACCAAAGAGGGGGACCUUCGGGCCUCUUGCCAUCAGAUGUGCCCAGAUGGGAUUAGCUUGUUGGUGAGGUAACGGCUCACCAAGGCGACGAUCCCUAGCUGGUCUGAGAGGAUGACCAGCCACACUGGAACUGAGACACGGUCCAGACUCCUACGGGAGGCAGCAGUGGGGAAUAUUGCACAAUGGGCGCAAGCCUGAUGCAGCCAUGCCGCGUGUAUGAAGAAGGCCUUCGGGUUGUAAAGUACUUUCAGCGGGGAGGAAGGUGUUGUGGUUAAUAACCGCAGCAAUUGACGUUACCCGCAGAAGAAGCACCGGCUAACUCCGUGCCAGCAGCCGCGGUAAUACGGAGGGUGCAAGCGUUAAUCGGAAUUACUGGGCGUAAAGCGCACGCAGGCGGUCUGUCAAGUCGGAUGUGAAAUCCCCGGGCUCAACCUGGGAACUGCAUUCGAAACUGGCAGGCUUGAGUCUUGUAGAGGGGGGUAGAAUUCCAGGUGUAGCGGUGAAAUGCGUAGAGAUCUGGAGGAAUACCGGUGGCGAAGGCGGCCCCCUGGACAAAGACUGACGCUCAGGUGCGAAAGCGUGGGGAGCAAACAGGAUUAGAUACCCUGGUAGUCCACGCCGUAAACGAUGUCUACUUGGAGGUUGUGCCCUUGAGGCGUGGCUUCCGGAGCUAACGCGUUAAGUAGACCGCCUGGGGAGUACGGCCGCAAGGUUAAAACUCAAAUGAAUUGACGGGGGCCCGCACAAGCGGUGGAGCAUGUGGUUUAAUUCGAUGCAACGCGAAGAACCUUACCUGGUCUUGACAUCCACGGAAGUUUUCAGAGAUGAGAAUGUGCCUUCGGGAACCGUGAGACAGGUGCUGCAUGGCUGUCGUCAGCUCGUGUUGUGAAAUGUUGGGUUAAGUCCCGCAACGAGCGCAACCCUUAUCCUUUGUUGCCAGCGGUCCGGCCGGGAACUCAAAGGAGACUGCCAGUGAUAAACUGGAGGAAGGUGGGGAUGACGUCAAGUCAUCAUGGCCCUUACGACCAGGGCUACACACGUGCUACAAUGGCGCAUACAAAGAGAAGCGACCUCGCGAGAGCAAGCGGACCUCAUAAAGUGCGUCGUAGUCCGGAUUGGAGUCUGCAACUCGACUCCAUGAAGUCGGAAUCGCUAGUAAUCGUGGAUCAGAAUGCCACGGUGAAUACGUUCCCGGGCCUUGUACACACCGCCCGUCACACCAUGGGAGUGGGUUGCAAAAGAAGUAGGUAGCUUAACCUUCGGGAGGGCGCUUACCACUUUGUGAUUCAUGACUGGGGUGAAGUCGUAACAAGGUAACCGUAGGGGAACCUGCGGUUGGAUCACCUCCUUA